AGUCAUUGGGUUAAAUAUAAAAACCUAAAGGCGUAAUUAACUUAACUAUUUAAUAUGGGAUCAUAUAUAUAUAAAUUUUAUUUUUUAUAUAUAUUCCAUCCUGGGGCGUUCAAUAUAGUUAUGUAUUUUAAUAUAAUUUCUUUUAAAGUUAUUAUAUUAUUAAUGCCUCUAACUAGAGCGUACCUUGAGCAUAUAUGUUGUGACCCGAAAGAUGGUGAACUAUACCUGAUCAGGUUGAAGUCAGGGGAAACCCUGAUGGAAGACCGAAACAGUUCUGACGUGCAAAUCGAUUGUCAGAAUUGGGUUUAGGGGCGAAAGACCAAUCGAACCAUCUAGUAGCUGGUUCCCUCCGAAGUUUCCCUCAGGAUAGCUGGUGCAUUUAAAUAUUAUAAGAAAUAAUCUUAUCUGGUAAAGCGAAUGAUUAGAGGCCUUAGGGCCGAAACGACCUUAACCUAUUCUCAAACUUUAAAUGGGUAAGAACCUAACCUUUCUUGAUAUGAAGGUUUAGGUUAUGAUAUAUUGUGCCCAGUGGGCCACUUUUGGUAAGCAGAACUGGCGCUGUGGGAUGAACCAAACGUGAUGUUACGGCGCCAAAAUUAACAACUCAUACUGAUACCAUGAAAGGCGUUGCUUGCUUAAAACAGCAGGACGGUGGACAUGGAAGUCGUAAUCCGCUAAGGAGUGUGUAACAACUCACCUGCCGAAGCAACUAGCCCUUAAAAUGGAUGGCGCUCAAGUUGUAUGCCUAUACAUCACCGUUAAAGUAUAUGAUCUAUUUAAAAAUAUUGAAACUUUAUAUAAAUUUUGAAACUUUAAUGAGUAGGAGGGUACAAUUGUGUGCGUGGAAGUGUUUGGCGUAAGCCUGCAUUGAGCCGCAAUUGGUACAGAUCUUGGUGGUAGUAGCAAAUAAUCGAAUGAGACCUUGGAGGACUGAAGUGGAGAAGGGUUUCGUGUGAACAGUGGUUGAUCACGAGUUAGUCGGUCCUAAGUUCAAGGCGAAAGCCGAAAAAAUUUAAGUAAAAAUAAUUAAUUAAAUAUUAUAAUAAACUUAAAUAAAUUUGAACGAAAGGGAAUACGGUUCCAAUUCCGUAACCUGUUGAGUAUACGUUUGUUAUUAAAUAUGGGCUUUUAUGCUCAUCCUGGUAACAGAAACAACCAUAAAGAAGCCGUCGAGAAAUAUCGAAAGAGUUUUCUUUUCUGUUUUAUAGUUGUACUACCAUGGAAGUCUUUCGAAGAGAGAUAUGGUAGAUGGACUAGAAGAGCAUGGCAUUUACUGCUGUGUCGAUAUUUUCUCUUCGGACCUUGAAAAUUUAUGGUGGGGUCACGCAAACCUCUCAACAGGCCGUACCGAUAUCCGCAGCUGGUCUCCAAGGG
Molecule: ribosomal RNA, 1374 nt
Filed under: Holcocephala abdominalis
Lineage: Eukaryota; Metazoa; Arthropoda; Insecta; Diptera; Asilidae
Description: eukaryotic LSU rRNA
Rfam family: Eukaryotic large subunit ribosomal RNA
Source: RNAcentral